Canis lupus familiaris (dog) is the source of this 5519-nucleotide long non-coding RNA. RefSeq lists it as uncharacterized. The transcript is spliced from 3 exons. The record is from RefSeq and is a predicted model, not a curated record. NCBI's taxonomy places the organism in Eukaryota, Metazoa, Chordata, Mammalia, Carnivora, Canidae.
GGAACGGUUAGUCUGAAGCGCUUUGCUGUGAUAUAUUCUUCGUGGAAACGGAAUUUGCUAAACUUGAGCUCUUUGUUACAACCUCAGAUAUUCCUUAUCUCCCAGGUGCCAGCUGAACAAUCUCUGCUGAAUAUCUUGAGAUUUGAGCAAGCAAAUCAUGUGGAACUAACAGGUUGUCUCUGCUCAGAUUCUUAAGUUAUAAGCAACAGAAAUAAAAUGAAGGUAGAUGAGGGGAAAAUGCGAGAUUCUUGAGUUACAGGCAGCAGAAGUAACAUUUGGAUGGAUUAAGAGGAAGCGGGCCAUGCGCUAUGGGUUCUGCAGUGUCUCCUGCGGCCAAGAGCAGAGCCAGGCGGUGGAGGACUAGGAGGCUGCAGGACUGUCUCCACUGCUGCUCCCCGUCCCCUCGAGGGCCCAGCCUUUCUUCUCUUUGCAGACUUCAAUCCUUCGCCUGCCUGGCCCACCUGAUGGGAUGUCGGCUCCCCUCAUGGCUUAAUAAGUCAACGAAAUCAAAGCUCCACAAAUCAUGGAUCUCAGGAGAAGUAGGUGAAAACUCACAGUUGAGGCUCACCGUUGGAUCAAGUGCAACAGCUGUCUAAAGCAACCAGCAUAGUACCUGGUGCAAAGUAACUGUUCAAGAAGUGUGUGGAAUUGCGUGAAGCCUCAGUCACAGGGAGAGCAGCCCUAGUGACACAUGGUGGAAGGAAUCCUGUGGGAAAAACACACAUUCCUGAAGCUGUGGGAUCCUUAUGGUUUGCCAAAUGCCAGAGUAACACCUGCUCCACCCCUGCGCCCAGGAAUCCAGGAGUGCUGCCUCACCUGUGCACAUAGCACCACCAGGCCACAAGGGCAGCAACAUGGUUUUAAAGUCCUCCAGCCUGCCUGCCUUAAAAUUAUGUGAUUCAUGAUGUUUUGGCUUUAAGGAAUUGGAUUGUUUCCAGUCUUUUGCAUCUAGUUAAAAUGCAUCGAUUUAAAAGAAUUCUGCUAUUUCGAAUUUGCAUAAUUUAAAUUCACAAAUGUGGUGUUACAUUGGAUUGUAAAUGAAAUACCAAGGUGAUCUGAGACCCCCUGAAACCAGUGCUGACCUGGUCACCAGCGGGCCCGUUGACCCUGCAUCUGCGUUGGCCUUCGGGCUUCCAUAACCGGCACGGCCACUUGCCCCCGGGAUGCAGAUGUCCACUGGCAGAGGAGCAGUGAUAGUUCUGACGCAAAAAUGCUGGAUUUGUGCCGUCGCAGAGAAGCAGGCCACCUCGUGUGUCUCAGCUUUCCCUUGGCUCCUCCCCGAAGCAGUUCAGCUGAUUGGCAUGGACUGGAGUUGGCUAAUAACAUGAUCUAUCCCUCCACUCAACCACAGCCUCUGGAGGAAGUCUGCAGGAAGGCUCUGGGAUGAGGAUCAGAGCUCUCCAGGGUUUGUGGCCAAUACCAAAUGGGAGGCAGACUCGCCUUGGGACAGUCUCCAUCCACAGCACUGCUCUCUGGUGUCUGAACCCAAGACAAACCAAAACACAAUCAUAUUUUCCCCUUGGAUUGAACAGAGAGAUUCUUGAAAACUGAAACUCCAUGAAUUUAAGGAGGCAGGAUUUUACACCAAGUUGUUCCUAGGGUAGGUUUUGGGAGGGGGGAGUUAAGGAUUGUUUGGGCUGAGACAGUGUGUUUUGAGUCAAAGGGGAGUUGGUUGUACUGUCUGAAGCCCUGUAGCAUGAUAGAAGUAACCUGGUGACAGCUCUGGUGGCAAAGUUGCCCAGUGAGCCUUCAGGAGACUGAGGACAAGACCUGGGUGGUACUUCAGAACCCAAUCCUGGUUUUGUGCGUUCAUGAGCAUUGAACCUCUCUGAGUUCCAUUCUCAGCACCUGUAGAAUGGCAAUAACAAUAGCGAUCUACUUCGUGGCAGCCUCCCUAUGUGAGAAAUGAUUGAUAAGAAUAACUCAGCUGGGUUGUACAUGUAAAAGGAUCGAAUAUAGAAUGCUCUAAAAUCUCACCAAGAUGCCAGAAGAUGCAUAUCCCUCCACACAGCUCUUAAAGAUCAAUAAGAAAAAAACAAAUAGCCCAAUAGAAAAAUGGGCAAUGAAUAGGAACAGGCAACUAACAGAGAACUACAAAUGGCCUUUCAGUUGAGGUAGAUGUGCAACGUGACAAUGGUCAUCAACAACACUGUUGUGUGUUUGCAGCUCACUAAGAGAGAAAAUCUUCAAGGUUCUCCUCACAAAGAGAAAACCGACCAUAACUGUGUGAGGUGGUGAAUGUUAACUGAUUUUAUUGCGGUGACUGCUUUGUAAUACAUACGUAUAUCAAAUCAUUGUGUUGUACACCUUCAACUUAGACCAUAUUAUGUGUCAAUUGUAUCUCAAUAAAACAGAAGAAGUAAAUAAGUAAACUUAGGGAAAUGUAAAACUUGCUAGCAACUAAAGAAAUGCAGACUGGGGACACCUGGGUGGCUCAGUCGUCCAGUGCCUGCCUUCGGCUCAGGUCAUGAUCCCAGAAUCUGGGAUCGAGUCCCACAUCGGGCUUUCUGCAGGGAGCCUACUUCUCCCUCUGCCUGUGUCUCUGCCUCUCUCUCUCUGUGUCUCUCAUGAAUAAAUAAAUAAAAUCUUUAAAAAAAAAAGAAAUGCAGAUUGCAGGGUUGAAACAUUUGCUCUGCCAGGUUGGAACCAUCAGAAACUGAUACCAUCUGGUGUGGUGCGGGCAUGGGCACACAGGCGUUCCUCACACCAAAUUGCGUCGAUUGGGACCAGCUUUGCCAAGAUCAAUUUCAGAUUGCAUGUUAAAGUCUUGAGUUUCUCAUCCUUUGAUGUGAGAGUUUCACUUACAGGAAUCCAUGUUAAGGAACGGUAGCACGAAUUCAUAAGGGCAUAUAUCCAGAUAGAUAGAUAGAUAGAUAGAUGAUAGAUAUAGAUAUUUAAAAUAAGAUUUUGCCACAAAGAUGUCAAGAGGGAAAAAAAAUCCCUCAUAUUACCUCUCCAAAUUCCAGGAAAUACCAACCCCCAAAUAUGGAUUGUACGUGAACUCAGGACUGGGAAAUGUGUUUAAAUUUCUUCCCUGUUACAAGGUAAACUUUAUUUAGCAAGGCAAAAUGUGAAUUAUAGCUUAACUUGACGUCACUUUGAAAAUCCCACAAGUUGUGGUAGAGUUUUUAAUCUUUGCAGUAAAUUUUUUGGGAUGAAAUAGAGAAAGUUCUGCCAAGAGUACAAACUUGUGUCUGGGUACAAAUUAGCCCCUGCUCAUUUUGUUAUGGUGACCCCAUGAUUUAAGAAAUCGUAAACGAAUACCUUGGGAGAGCUAAUGAGCUCCAUGAAAUGGCUGGAUUACAUUCAGGGAAAAGAUACUGGCUGAGUUUCUGAGAAUAUCAGUAAAAUUACUGAGCAAACAGAUUUCUCUGUACUCUGUGGUUUGGCCAAAUUUGGUGGUUAAAGAGAUUGUACAGGAGGAAGGAAAGUGGUUCCAUAGCCUGCUCUAUAAAUGAGGAAGAACUAAUGCAGCUCUCGGGUGCUUAUUUUCUGCUCCAUAAAAAUGCUUUGGGAUGUGCAAAGUCAUGAACGUGUUUGAUGCACAAACAGCAUCUCACUGAAAUGUGUAACAUGCAAAUCACUAGAAUUGCUCCAAGAAAUGAUCAAGACACAGUAAUAAUGGAAGACAUUAAUCAACUCAGAAUUGGCCAGAUGGAGACAAGAAUUAACUAAGGAAGGAAGAGGAUCGCACAUCACAAUUAACAUAUUUCUUUUAAUAGACAUGUUGAAUUUUGUGCCCUGCAAAUAGACACAAGGUUUUUUUCCCCCCAAAUAACCAUGGAAUAUUUAUAAAAGUUGGUUAUAUAUCGCCUAAAGGAAAACUUGAUUAUGUACUACAAAGCUGAAAUUGCCUAGGUCACAUUAUUUAACCAAAAAGUAUUAAAUCUAGAAACAGACUGCAAAUAAAAAAUUAAAAAUGAAAUUUAAGUACUAGGACAUUCUGAAAGAACUCUUUCAAACAGUUUUGAGUCAAAGAGCAAAUCAAUUAUUGUCAAAGUACAUUUAUGAAUGAAUUAGGAGUGAUAAUGAUGAGGGAAGCCUGGGUGGCUCAGUGGUUGAGCGCCUGCCUUCAGCUCAGGUGUGAUCCUGGAGUCCCAGGAUGGAGUCCCAUAUUGGGCUACCUGAAGGGAGCCCGCUUCUCCCUCUGGCUAUGUCUCUGCCUCUCUCGCUAUGUCUCUCAUGAAUAAAAAAAUCUUUAAAAAAAAGAAGUAAUGAUGAUAAAAUUCAUAUUUAAUAUAUGUUGUGAAUUUAAAGUCUUAGCUCUACAGUCCUUUACUAUUGGAGAAGAAAGAUGUUAUAGAAUUAACUAAGUGUUCAACUCAAGAAAUUACCAAAAAAUAAGCAAGAAAAAAAUCAAGAUUAAUCAUGAUAAAGAAAUGUGAUAAGGUAGAAAUAAAAUGUGUAGAUGUGAAAAUAGAGACAAGAUCGGAUUCUUUGACAAGACAAGCAGGAAGUAUGUUCAAGGGGAGGAAAAAAAUUAAAACCUUUGGAUUUGCAUUUGGAUUUUUAAAAAGAGAAUAUACUCACAGAGAUAAACUAAAACUUUUAAGACAAAUAACAUGUUUUUCCCUAUAGAAACAGUGUUCUUAGUAGUGACAAAUAAGUAAAUGUUUGUCAGUAGGGUAAAUAAAAUGUGGCAAGUGUGGCACACAAUACUGUGCUGCCAUAAAAAAGAAUGAGACGGGAUUUAAUGUCCUAAUCUGGAACAUUUGUAAGUGUGUAAAUGGAAUGCUUUAAUUUGUGUAAAAAAAGGUGGAUACACUUUGUCUCAGCUUCCAUAUGUAUUAGAGACUCUGGAAGAAUGGAUCUGAAAUCGAUGCACCGAGUGUAUGUUGGAUGUCCUGCAUGGUGAAGACUACUCAGAUGGAGAUGGAAGGAUGGGGAUCUUUAUCAUAUACACCUUUACACUUUUAGCUCUUCAAAGCUUCUGAAUUCACUACCGAUUCAGCAAAUUAAAUAAAUAAGAUAACACCAGGAGCCUAAUUUAGGGUAAUAAAUUUAGGAAUCCGGAUGAUGUGGUCCAUGUCUUUCCAAUGUAUUUAUAAGUUGCCAAAAUUGAUCAAAAAGGAGACUUCAAACCCAAACAGGCUGACAUCUCAACCUCAUCCAGUUAUCUAUCUUUUUGCCCUCUGCCUAGACAGUGUUGUGCAAGUUCUCUCUUGGAAGACUUUUCCAGAGGCUUCCCUUUAUCUUUACCCCAUGCCUCUGCUCUGGGCUGUGGUCACAGAAUGCCACAGGACAGCCCUCUGAUGAGGCUUCCUACCUCGGCUGCUCACCCUGGUCAGGCUUUGGUGGGACUGCUAAGACCACUAGCUGUAGACACCGAGAGAUGGGAGUUUUCCUACUGCCUCUGAGUUAAAGGUUACCUUUCUGAGCCCCCACUCUUCAUCUGGAAAAUGGGAAUAAUUAUAAUAGUACUUCCAUUACAUCCUGCUCUGGGAGUUGGAUGACAGAAAGAAGGGAACAUGUUUGUAAGAGAGCAUAUUGUGCACCCAAUAAACGUUAAAUUUAUUUAA